GAACAUGCGAUGAGAAAGAAGAGUACAUAUUGCGAUGCCUUCAGAGAGCUUGUGGCUGGUGGGAACAAGCGGCUAGCAAUAUGGAAUGGGCUUUCGAGCAUCCGGCUGAACGAGAGUAGGCUUUGGACGCCUGCCUUGCGUUAUCAAGGCGCCAUGCGCAUACAGGCAUGGGCAGAGUGAUUGCACCAUAUGUGCAAUAACUAGGGUGGCAACGCGGUCCUAUCGUCCCUAAC
Molecule: non-coding RNA, 233 nt
Filed under: Geobacillus sp.
Lineage: Bacteria; Bacillati; Bacillota; Bacilli; Caryophanales; Anoxybacillaceae
Description: T-box sequence
Rfam family: T-box leader
About the family: Uncharged tRNA acts as the effector for transcription antitermination of genes in the T-box leader family. T-boxes are found upstream of many aminoacyl-tRNA synthetase genes and some amino acid biosynthetic genes usually in Gram-positive bacteria. The anticodon of a specific tRNA base pairs to a specifier sequence within the T-box motif, and the NCCA acceptor tail of the tRNA base pairs to a conserved bulge in the T-box antiterminator hairpin.
Source: RNAcentral